UAUGCUGCUAAGCAGAAAGAUCGGAAGUGUAAAGUCAGGAGACCUGUAUCCUACUAUUCAGACUUCAGGUAAAGACAGUAUCACAGUUGAUAUCCUCUGCUUAACUGAAAACUAUUGGUAGCAUCGAGUGUUUCAGAACUAAAUGAAUAUAUUUCAUCCAGAAGGCAUACCUUACGGAAUCAUAGAAGAGCCUAGG
Pipra filicauda (Wire-tailed manakin) is the source of this 196-nucleotide long non-coding RNA. RefSeq lists it as uncharacterized. The record is from RefSeq and is a predicted model, not a curated record. The transcript has 3 exons. Lineage: Eukaryota; Metazoa; Chordata; Aves; Passeriformes; Pipridae.